Molecule: non-coding RNA, 108 nt
Filed under: Roseburia sp. CAG:197
Lineage: Bacteria; Bacillati; Bacillota; Clostridia; Lachnospirales; Lachnospiraceae
Also listed under: 1 other name
Description: TPP riboswitch aptamer (THI element)
Rfam family: TPP riboswitch aptamer (THI element)
About the family: Vitamin B(1) in its active form thiamin pyrophosphate (TPP) is an essential coenzyme that is synthesised by coupling of pyrimidine and thiazole moieties in bacteria. The previously detected thiamin-regulatory element, thi box was extended, resulting in a new, highly conserved RNA secondary structure, the THI element, which is widely distributed in eubacteria and also occurs in some archaea.
Source: Rfam by way of RNAcentral
AACUUAUAAACGGGGAGCUGGUAAAAGCCGGCUGAGAGGAAACUGUGUGGUUUCGACCUAUAACCUGAUUUGGAUAAUGCCAACGUAGGGAACAAUAUCUGUAUGCAA